This 484-nucleotide ribosomal RNA is filed under the name uncultured bacterium. RNAcentral's name for it is "partial 16S ribosomal RNA". It matches the Rfam family "Bacterial small subunit ribosomal RNA", at positions 30 to 507 of the family's 1533-position model. The record is from RNAcentral.
AUUGAACGCUGGCGGCAGGCCUAACACAUGCAAGUCGAGCGGAUGAAGGGUGCUUGCGCCUGGAUUCAGCGGCGGACGGGUGAGUAAUGCCUAGGAAUUUGCCUGGUAUUAGGGGAUAACGUCCGGAAACGGGCGCUAAUACCGCAUACGUCCUGAGGGAGAAAGAGGGGGAUCUUCGGACCUCACGCUAUCAGAUGAGCCUAGGUCGGAUUAGCUAGUUGGUGGGGUAAAGGCCUACCAAGGCGACGAUCCGUAACUGGUCUGAGAGGAUGAUCAGUCACACUGGAAGGGGGACACGGUCAAGACUACUACGGGAGGCAGCAGUGGGGAAUAUUGGACAAUGGGGGAAAGCCUGAUCCAGCCAGGCCGAGUGUGUGAAGAAGGUCUUCGGAGUGUAAAGCCCUUUAAGUUGGGAGGAAGGGCAGUAAGUUAAUACCUUGCUGUUUUGACGUUACCAACAGAAUAAGCACCGGCUAACUACGUG